UACGAGGGGGGCGAGCGUUGUUCGGAAUUACUGGGCGUAAAGGGCUCGUAGGCGGCCAACUAAGUCAGACGUGAAAUCCCUCGGCUUAACCGGGGAACUGCGUCUGAUACUGGAUGGCUUGAGGUUGGGAGAGGGAUGCGGAAUUCCAGGUGUAGCGGUGAAAUGCGUAGAUAUCAGGAGGAACACCGGUGGCGAAGGCGGGUCUCUGGGCCGAUACUGACGCUGAGGAGCGAAAGCGUGGGGAGCGAACAGG
RNAcentral lists this ribosomal RNA (253 nucleotides) under uncultured bacterium. Its description in RNAcentral is "partial 16S ribosomal RNA". It matches the Rfam family "Bacterial small subunit ribosomal RNA", at positions 524 to 776 of the family's 1533-position model. The record is from RNAcentral.